UGGGGAAUUUUGGACAAUGGGGGCAACCCUGAUCCAGCAAUGCCGCGUGUGUGGAGAAGGCCUUCGGGUUGUAAAGCACUUUUGUCCGGAAAGAAAUCCCUUGCCCUAAUACGGCGGGGGGAUGACGGUACCGGAAGAAUAAGCACCGGCUAACUACGUGCCAGCAGCCGCGGUAAUACGUAGGGUGCGAGCGUUAAUCGGAAUUACUGGGCGUAAAGCGUGCGCAGGCGGUUUUGUAAGACAGGCGUGAAAUCCCCGAGCUCAACUUGGGAAUGGCGCUUGUGACUGCAAGGCUAGAGUAUGUCAGAGGGGGGUAGAAUUCCACGUGUAGCAGUGAAAUGCGUAGAGAUGUGGAGGAAUACCGAUGGCGAAGGCAGCCCCCUGGGACGUCACUGACGCUCAUGCACGAAAGCGUGGGGAGCAAACAGGAUUAGAUACCCUGGUAGUCCACGCCCUAAACGAUGUCAACUAGUUGUUGGGGAUUCAUUUCUUCAGUAACGUAGCUAACGCGUGAAGUUGACCGCCUGGGGAGUACGGUCGCAAGAUUA
Molecule: ribosomal RNA, 548 nt
Filed under: uncultured bacterium
Lineage: Bacteria
Description: bacterial SSU rRNA
Rfam family: Bacterial small subunit ribosomal RNA
Source: RNAcentral